CCGCCCUUCCGCGCACGCGCAGCUCGGCGCCCUGCGUGGUCCUCGGAGUGCCGGCGUGCCCUCCUGCGACCGCUCUUUCCCCCCAGGACAGGUCUUCCCAGCGCCCCCUCUUUCCGGGCUGGAGCCUUGCACACGCUCACUCUCAUGGUUCCUGGGCUGACUUUUUCAGCUAGAGAAAGACAGAAGGCAGAGGAGAGACAUCCCAGUAUCAGGCUUUCCUCCUGUAAUAUGAUUUGCCUGUGUGGCUCUGGGCUGUGAAACCUGUAGAGUGAAUGGUAGAGGGAGAAAAGGAAGAGAAGAGGAAGAGAUGAGAAACUUCACGUCACUUCUCCACUCCCCAUGGUCCUCCCAUGGGAUGCUGGGGGCUAGAACCCGUGUUUGCAGAGUACUGGAACUUGCACUCUACCAGAUGAGCUAUUUCCUGGCCUCUGAAAUGCUUGGUUUUCAUCAAUGAGGCAAACUGCAUCUAGAUUGUGUCUCUUUCUUGGUAGCAAACAAAGAAAAGUAGUCCCUUGUGCUUGCUUUUCCCUUUUGAGAAAGGAUUUGCUAGAGACUCACCUUUAGGACACAUUA
Erinaceus europaeus (western European hedgehog) is the source of this 573-nucleotide long non-coding RNA. RefSeq lists it as uncharacterized. Lineage: Eukaryota; Metazoa; Chordata; Mammalia; Eulipotyphla; Erinaceidae. The record is from RefSeq and is a predicted model, not a curated record. The transcript is spliced from 3 exons.